Molecule: long non-coding RNA, 197 nt
Organism: Octopus sinensis (East Asian common octopus)
Lineage: Eukaryota; Metazoa; Mollusca; Cephalopoda; Octopoda; Octopodidae
Exons: 3
Source: RefSeq, a predicted model, not a curated record
ACACACACACACACACACACACACACAAAUAAAUAUGAAGGGUUGCUGAAUAGUUCUUGGCUUUUAGGUUAUUGCGAAAGGCCUGAUUGGACACCCAACCUUUCAAGUUCUUUUACUGGGCUUAGAAAAACUGAAGGACCGCUGCAAUAAGUGUGUGAAUCUGAGAAGAGGAAUAGGUUGAGUAAAAUCAUAACUGC